CCAGACUCCUACGGGAGGCAGCAGUGGGGAAUAUUGGGCAAUGGGCGCAAGCCUGACCCAGCAACGCCGCGUGAAGGAAGAAGGCUUUCGGGUUGUAAACUUCUUUUCUCAGGGACGAAGCAAGUGACGGUACCUGAGGAAUAAGCCACGGCUAACUACGUGCCAGCAGCCGCGGUAAUACGUAGGUGGCAAGCGUUAUCCGGAUUUACUGGGUGUAAAGGGCGUGUAGGCGGGAAAGCAAGUCAGAUGUGAAAACCAUGGGCUCAACCUGUGGCCUGCAUUUGAAACUGUUUUUCUUGAGUACUGGAGAGGCAGACGGAAUUCCGUGUGUAGCGGUGAAAUGCGUAGAUAUACGGAGGAACACCAGUGGCGAAGGCGGAUUGCUGGACGGAUACUGACGCUGAGGCCCGAAAGCGUGGGGAGCGAACAGGAUUAGAUACCCCGGUAUA
Molecule: ribosomal RNA, 449 nt
Filed under: uncultured bacterium
Lineage: Bacteria
Description: bacterial SSU rRNA
Rfam family: Bacterial small subunit ribosomal RNA
Source: RNAcentral